Non-coding RNA from Geobacillus sp. CAMR12739, 130 nucleotides. Lineage: Bacteria; Bacillati; Bacillota; Bacilli; Caryophanales; Anoxybacillaceae. The record is from Rfam.
AGCACCUUUUAAUUAAGUCCCGCGAGGCUUAAAAAGGUGUGAAAACAGGCGCAUCCAGGGCCGGAGUGCACCUUCGGCCCUGCCAUGCGCCGAUCGUCACACCUUGCCUGGCCGGCAAGGUGUUUUUUUU